RNAcentral lists this ribosomal RNA (130 nucleotides) under Pestalotiopsis sp. RNAcentral's name for it is "5.8S ribosomal RNA". It matches the Rfam family "5.8S ribosomal RNA", at positions 1 to 129 of the family's 154-position model. Rfam says of the family: 5.8S ribosomal RNA (5.8S rRNA) is a component of the large subunit of the eukaryotic ribosome. The record is from RNAcentral. RNAcentral also lists the same sequence under 6 other names. Lineage: Eukaryota; Fungi; Ascomycota; Sordariomycetes; Amphisphaeriales; Sporocadaceae.
AAACUUUCAACAACGGAUCUCUUGGUUCUGGCAUCGAUGAAGAACGCAGCGAAAUGCGAUAAGUAAUGUGAAUUGCAGAAUUCAGUGAAUCAUCGAAUCUUUGAACGCACAUUGCGCCCAUUAGUAUUCU